GAUGAACGCUGGCGGCGUGCCUAAUACAUGCAAGUCGAGCGAACAGACGAGGAGCUUGCUCCUCUGACGUUAGCGGCGGACGGGUGAGUAACACGUGGAUAACCUACCUAUAAGACUGGGAUAACUUCGGGAAACCGGGGCUAAUACCGGAUAAUAUAUUGAACCGCAUGGUUCAAUAGUGAAAGACGGUUUUGCUGUCACUUAUAGAUUGAUCCGCGCCGCAUUAGCUAGUUGGUAAGGUAACGGCUUACCAAGGCAACGAUGCGUAGCCGACCUGAGAGGGUGAUCGGCCACACUGGAACUGAGACACGGUCCAGACUCCUACGGGAGGCAGCAGUAGGGAAUCUUCCGCAAUGGGCGAAAGCCUGACGGAGCAACGCCGCGUGAGUGAUGAAGGUCUUCGGAUCGUAAAACUCUGUUAUUAGGGAAGAACAAAUGUGUAAGUAACUAUGCACGUCUUGACGGUACCUAAUCAGAAAGCCACGGCUAACUACGUG
Molecule: ribosomal RNA, 497 nt
Filed under: uncultured bacterium
Lineage: Bacteria
Description: partial 16S ribosomal RNA
Rfam family: Bacterial small subunit ribosomal RNA
Source: RNAcentral